AUUGAACGCUGGCGGCAGGCCUAACACAUGCAAGUCGAACGGUAACAGGAAGCAGCUUGCUGCUUCGCUGACGAGUGGCGGACGGGUGAGUAAUGUCUGGGAAACUGCCUGAUGAGGGGGAUAACUACUGGAAACGGUAGCUAAUACCGCAUAACGUCGCAAGACCAAAGAGGGGGACCUUCGGGCCUCUUGCCAUCAGAUGUGCCCAGAUGGGAUUAGCUAGUUGGUGGGGUAACGGCUCACCAAGGCGACGAUCCCUAGCUGGUCUGAGAGGAUGACCAGCCACACUGGAACUGAGACACGGUCCAGACUCCUACGGGAGGCAGCAGUGGGGAAUAUUGCACAAUGGGCGCAAGCCUGAUGCAGCCAUGCCGCGUGUAUGAAGAAGGCCUUCGGGUUGUAAAGUACUUUCAGCGGGGAGGAAGGUGUUGUGGUUAAUAACCGCAGCAAUUGACGUUACCCGCAGAAGAAGCACCGGCUAACUCCGUGCCAGCAGCCGC
Molecule: ribosomal RNA, 500 nt
Filed under: uncultured bacterium
Lineage: Bacteria
Description: bacterial SSU rRNA
Rfam family: Bacterial small subunit ribosomal RNA
Source: RNAcentral